RNAcentral lists this ribosomal RNA (606 nucleotides) under uncultured bacterium. RNAcentral's name for it is "bacterial SSU rRNA". It matches the Rfam family "Bacterial small subunit ribosomal RNA", at positions 112 to 714 of the family's 1533-position model. The record is from RNAcentral.
AAUACCUAGGAAUCUGCCUGAUAGUGGGGGAUAACGUUCGGAAACGGACGCUAAUACCGCAUAACGUCGCAAGACCAAAGAGGGGGACCUUCGGGCCUCUCACUAUCGGAUGAACCCAGAUGGGAUUAGCUAGUAGGCGGGGUAAUGGCCCACCUAGGCGACGAUCCCUAGCUAGUCUGAGAGGGUGACCAGCCACACUGGAACUGAGACACGGUCCAGACUCCUACGGGAGGCAGCAGUGGGGAAUAUUGCACAAUGGGCGCAAGCCUGAUGCAGCCAUGCCGCGUGUAUGAAGAAGGCCUUCGGGUUGUAAAGUACUUUCAGCGGGGAGGAAGGCGACGGGGUUAAUAACCGCGUCGAUUGACGUUACCCGCAGAAGAAGCACCGGCUAACUCCGUGCCAGCAGCCGCGGUAAUACGGGGGGUGCAAGCGUUAAUCGGAAUUACUGGGCGUAAAGCGCACGCAGGCGGUCUGUUAAGUCAGAUGUGAAAUCCCCGGGCUUAACCUGGGAACUGCAUUUGAAACUGGCAGGCUUGAGUCUUGUAGAGGGGGGUGGAAUUCCAGGUGUAGCGGUGAAAUGCGUAGAGAUCUGGAGGAAUACCGGUG